RNAcentral lists this ribosomal RNA (497 nucleotides) under uncultured bacterium. Its description in RNAcentral is "partial 16S ribosomal RNA". It matches the Rfam family "Bacterial small subunit ribosomal RNA", at positions 28 to 507 of the family's 1533-position model. The record is from RNAcentral.
GAUGAACGCUGGCGGCGUGCCUAAUACAUGCAAGUCGAGCGAACAGACGAGGAGCUUGCUCCUCUGACGUUAGCGGCGGACGGGUGAGUAACACGUGGAUAACCUACCUAUAAGACUGGGAUAACUUCGGGAAACCGGAGCUAAUACCGGAUAAUAUAUUGAACCGCAUGGUUCAAUAGUGAAAGACGGUUUUGCUUUCACUUAUAGAUGGAUCCGCGCCGCAUUAGCUAGUUGGUAAGGUAACGGCUUACCAAGGCGACGAUGCGUAGCCGACCUGAGAGGGUGAGCGGCCACACUGGAACUGAGACACGGUCCAGACUCCUACGGGAGGCAGCAGUAGGGAAUCUUCCGCAAUGGGCGAAAGCCUGACGGAGCAACGCCGCGUGAGUGAUGAAGGUCUUCGGAUCGUAAAACUCUGUUAUUAGGGAAGAACAAAUGUGUAAGUAACUAUGCACGUCUUGACGGUACCUAAUCAGAAAGCCACGGCUAACUACGUG